UGGGGAAUAUUGCACAAUGGGCGCAAGCCUGAUGCAGCCAUGCCGCGUGUAUGAAGAAGGCCUUCGGGUUGUAAAGUACUUUCAGCGGGGAGGAAGGCGUUGUGGUUAAUAACCACAGCGAUUGACGUUACCCGCAGAAGAAGCACCGGCUAACUCCGUGCCAGCAGCCGCGGUAAUACGGAGGGUGCAAGCGUUAAUCGGAAUUACUGGGCGUAAAGCGCACGCAGGCGGUCUGUCAAGUCGGAUGUGAAAUCCCCGGGCUCAACCUGGGAACUGCAUUAGAAACUGGCAGGCUAGAGUCUUGUAGAGGGGGGUAGAAUUCCAGGUGUAGCGGUGAAAUGCGUAGAGAUCUGGAGGAAUACCGGUGGCGAAGGCGGCCCCCUGGACAAAGACUGACGCUCAGGUGCGAAAGCGUGGGGAGCAAACAGG
RNAcentral lists this ribosomal RNA (429 nucleotides) under Bacillota bacterium. RNAcentral's name for it is "Firmicutes bacterium partial 16S ribosomal RNA". It matches the Rfam family "Bacterial small subunit ribosomal RNA", at positions 355 to 776 of the family's 1533-position model. Lineage: Bacteria; Bacillati; Bacillota. The record is from RNAcentral.